GGGACACGUGGUAUCCUGUCUGAAUAUGGGGGGACCAUCCUCCAAGGCUAAAUACUCCUGACUGACCGAUAGUGAACCAGUACCGUGAGGGAAAGGCGAAAAGAACCCCGGCGAGGGGAGUGAAAAAGAACCUGAAACCGUGUACGUACAAGCAGUGGGAGCACCCUUUUGGGUGUGACUGCGUACCUUUUGUAUAAUGGGUCAGCGACUUAUAUUCUGUAGCAAGGUUAACCGAAUAGGGGAGCCGGAGGGAAACCGAGUCUUAAUUGGGCGUUAAGUUGCAGGGUAUAGACCCGAAACCCGGUGAUCUAGCCAUGGGCAGGUUGAAGGUUGGGUAACACUAACUGGAGGACCGAACCGACUAAUGUUGAAAAAUUAGCGGAUGACCUGUGGCUGGGGGUGAAAGGCCAAUCAAACCGGGAGAUAGCUGGUUCUCCCCGAAAGCUAUUUAGGUAGCGCCUCGUGAAUUCAUCUCCGGGGGUAGAGCACUGUUUCGGCUAGGGGGCCAUCCCGGCUUACCAACCCGAUGCAAACUGCGAAUACCGGAGAAUGUUAUCACGGGAGACACACGGCGGGUGCUAACGUCCGUCGUGAAGAGGGAAACAACCCAGACCGCCAGCUAAGGUCCCAAAGUCAUGGUUAAGUGGGAAACGAUGUGGGAAGGCCCAGACAGCCAGGAUGUUGGCUUAGAAGCAGCCAUCAUUUAAAGAAAGCGUAAUAGCUCACUGGUCGAGUCGGCCUGCGCGGAAGAUGUAACGGGGCUAAACCAUGCACCGAAGCUGCGGCAGCGACGCUCAGGCGUUGUUGGGUAGGGGAGCGUUCUGUAAGCCUGUGAAGGUGGCCUGUGAGGGUUGCUGGAGGUAUCAGAAGUGCGAAUGCUGACAUAAGUAACGAUAAAGCGGGUGAAAAGCCCGCUCGCCGGAAGACCAAGGGUUCCUGUCCAACGUUAAUCGGGGCAGGGUGAGUCGACCCCUAAGGCGAGGCCGAAAGGCGUAGUCGAUGGGAAACGGGUUAAUAUUCCCGUACUUGGUGUUACUGCGAAGGGGGGACGGAGAAGGCUAUGUUGGCCGGGCGACGGUUGUCCCGGUUUAAGCGUGUAGGUGUGUGUUCCAGGUAAAUCCGGUUCACUUUAACACUGAGGCGUGACGACGAGGCACUACGGUGCUGAAGCAACAAAUGCCCUGCUUCCAGGAAAAGCCUCUAAGCAUCAGGUAACAUCAAAUCGUACCCCAAACCGACACAGGUGGUCAGGUAGAGAAUACCAAGGCGCUUGAGAGAACUCGGGUGAAGGAACUAGGCAAAAUGGUGCCGUAACUUCGGGAGAAGGCACGCUGACACGUAGGUGAAGUGAUUUACUCAUGGAGCUGAAGUCAGUCGAAGAUACCAGCUGGCUGCAACUGUUUAUUAAAA
This 1410-nucleotide ribosomal RNA is filed under the name Salmonella enterica subsp. enterica serovar Oslo. RNAcentral describes it as "partial 23S ribosomal RNA". It matches the Rfam family "Bacterial large subunit ribosomal RNA", at positions 419 to 1812 of the family's 2925-position model. Lineage: Bacteria; Pseudomonadati; Pseudomonadota; Gammaproteobacteria; Enterobacterales; Enterobacteriaceae. The record is from RNAcentral.